CCUACGGGGGGCUGCAGUGGGGAAUAUUGCACAAUGGGCGCAAGCCUGAUGCAGCCACGCCGCGUGUGUGAAGAAGGCCUUCGGGUUGUAAAGCACUUUCAGCGGGGAGGAAGGCGUUAAGGUUAAUAACCUUGUCGAUUGACGUUACCCGCAGAAGAAGCACCGGCUAACUCCGUGCCAGCAGCCGCGGUAAUACGGAGGGUGCAAGCGUUAAUCGGAAUUACUGGGCGUAAAGCGCACGCAGGCGGUCUGUCAAGUCGGAUGUGAAAUCCCCGGGCUCAACCUGGGAACUGCAUUCGAAACUGGCAGGCUAGAGUCUUGUAGAGGGGGGUAGAAUUCCAGGUGUAGCGGUGAAAUGCGUAGGGAUCUGGAGGAAUACCGGUGGCGAAGGCGGCCCCCUGGACAAAGACUGACGCUCAGGUGCGAAAGCGUGGGGAGCAAACAGGAUUAGAUACCCGAGUAGUC
Molecule: ribosomal RNA, 465 nt
Filed under: uncultured Klebsiella sp.
Lineage: Bacteria; Pseudomonadati; Pseudomonadota; Gammaproteobacteria; Enterobacterales; Enterobacteriaceae
Description: bacterial SSU rRNA
Rfam family: Bacterial small subunit ribosomal RNA
Source: RNAcentral